GACGAAGGAUGCAAGCGUUAUCCGGAUUCAUUGGGUUUAAAGGGUGCGUAGGUGGCCUUAUAAGUCAGUGGUGAAAUCUCUGGGCUUAACCCAGAAAUUGCCAUUGAUACUGUAGGGCUUGAGUAUAGUUGCCGUUGGCGGAAUAUGACAUGUAGUGGUGAAAUACAUAGAGAUGUCAUAGAACACCGAUUGCGAAGGCAGCUAACGAAACUAUAACUGACACUGAGGCUCGAAAGUGCGGGGAUCAAACAGG
Molecule: ribosomal RNA, 253 nt
Filed under: uncultured bacterium
Lineage: Bacteria
Description: partial 16S ribosomal RNA
Rfam family: Bacterial small subunit ribosomal RNA
Source: RNAcentral